UGGCUCUAGCAUCGAUGAAGAACGCAGCGAAAUGCGAUAAGUAAUGCGAAUUGCAGAAUUCCGCGAGUCAUCGAAUCUUUGAACGCACAUUGCGCCUGUUAGUAUUCUGAUAGGCAUGCCUGUUCGAGCGUCAUUUCAACCCUCAGGCCCGGCCUGGCGUUGGGGCUCCGCGUCUGCGGACCCUAAAAUAUAGUGGCGGGCUCGCUAUAAGCUUCAGCGCAGUAGAUUUCUUCGCUGGGAGCCUUGGCGGGCGCUUGCCGUUAAACACCCACUAUUAUCUCUGAUUGACCUCGGAUCAGGUAGGAAUACCCGCUGA
RNAcentral lists this unclassified non-coding RNA (316 nucleotides) under uncultured fungus. RNAcentral describes it as "partial contains 5.8S ribosomal RNA and internal transcribed spacer 2". The stretch from base 1 to 133 matches the Rfam family "5.8S ribosomal RNA", at positions 22 to 154 of the family's 154-position model. Lineage: Eukaryota; Fungi. The record is from RNAcentral.